CGUGUAGGCGGCUUGACAAGUCAGAUGUGAAAUCCCUGGGCUUAACCCAGGAAGUGCAUUUGAAACUGUUUGGCUGGAGUAAGGGAGAGGAAAGUGGAAUUCCUGGUGUAGAGGUGAAAUUCGUAGAUAUCAGGAGGAACACCGGUGGCGAAGGCGACUUUCUGGCCCUAUACUGACGCUGAGACGCGAAAGCGUGGGUAGCAAACAG
This 208-nucleotide ribosomal RNA is filed under the name uncultured Syntrophaceae bacterium. RNAcentral's name for it is "partial 16S ribosomal RNA". It matches the Rfam family "Bacterial small subunit ribosomal RNA", at positions 568 to 775 of the family's 1533-position model. Lineage: Bacteria; Pseudomonadati; Thermodesulfobacteriota; Syntrophia; Syntrophales; Syntrophaceae. The record is from RNAcentral.